RNAcentral lists this ribosomal RNA (449 nucleotides) under uncultured bacterium. RNAcentral describes it as "partial 16S ribosomal RNA". It matches the Rfam family "Bacterial small subunit ribosomal RNA", at positions 29 to 523 of the family's 1533-position model. The record is from RNAcentral.
AAUGAGCGCUGGCGGCAGGCCUAACACAUGCAAGUCGAACGGAUCCUUCGGGAUUAGUGGCGGACGGGUGAGUAGCGCGUGGGAACAUACCCAAAGGUACGGAAUAGCCUCGGGAAACUGGGAGUAAUACCGUAUGUGGUCGAGAGACGAAAGAUUUAUCGCCAAAGGAUUGGCCCGCGUUGGAUUAGGUAGUUGGUGGGGUAAUGGCCUACCAAGCCGACGAUCCAUAGCUGGUUUGAGAGGAUGAUCAGCCACACUGGGACUGAGACACGGCCCAGACUCCUACGGGAGGCAGCAGUGGGGAAUCUUAGACAAUGGGGGAAACCCUGAUCUAGCCAUGCCGCGUGAUCGAUGAAGGCCUUAGGGUUGUAAAGAUCUUUCAGGUGGGAAGAUAAUGACUGUACCACCAGAAGAAGCCCCGGCUAACUCCGUGCCAGCAGCCGCAGUAA